GAAAGUAAGUAAGGGCGUAUGGGGGAUGCCUAGGCUCUUGGAGGCUAAGAAGGACGUGGUAAGCUGCGAAAAGCUGCGGGGAUUUGCAAACGAGACUCGAUCCGCAGAUAUCCGAAUGGGACAACCCGGCAGGUAGAAGACCUGUCAUACCGCGAGGUGAGCUAACCCUCUGAACUGAAACAUCUAAGUAGGAGGAGGAAAAGAAAGAAACAUCGAUUUCCAAAGUAGCGGCGAGCGAAAUGGAAGAAGCCCAAACCGAUAUUGUUACGGCAAUAUCGGGGUUGUAGGACUGCAAUAUUCAAUUAACAAUGAACUGGAAUGGUCUGGAAAGUCCAUCCAUAGAGAGUGAAAGGCUCGUACAGGUAAGUUUGUUAUGCGAAAGCAGUAUCCUGAGUAUGGCGGGACACGAGGAAUCCUGUCAGAAUCAGCCGGGACCACCCGGUAAGGCUAAAUACUCCCAAGAGACCGAUAGUGGACCAGUACUGUGAAGGAAAGGUGAAAAGAACCCCGAACAGGGGAGUGAAAUAGAACCUGAAACCAUACGCUUACAACCGGUCGGAGCAGCUUCGUGCUGUGACGGCGUGCCUAUUGAAUAAUGAGCCUACGAGUUACUAAUCACUAGCGAGGUUAAGUGCAAGGAUGCACGGAGCCGAAGCGAAAGCGAGUCUGAACAGGGCGUUUAGUUAGUGGUUGUAGACGCGAAACCUUGCGAUCUACCCUUGAGCAGGUUGAAGGUUGGGUAAAACCAACUGGAGGACCGAACGAAUAAGCGUUGAAAAGCUUCUCGAUGACUUGAGGGUAGGGGUGAAAGGCUAAUCAAGCUGGGAAAUAGCUCGUACUCCCCGAAAUGCCUUUUGGGGCAGCGUUGUAAUAAAGAGUCUACUGGAGGUAGAGCUACUGAUUGGAUGCGGGGGCUUCACCGCCUACCAAAUCCUGACAAACUCCGAAUGCCAGUAGUAUGAUUUACAGCAGUGAGUGACUGGGUGCUAAUGUCCAGUCGCAAAAGAGGAACAACUCAGACCAGCAACUAAGGUCCCGAAGAAUAUGCUAAGUUGAUCUAACGAUGUUUUGUUGCAGAGACAGCUAGGAUGUUAGCUUGGAAGCAGCUAUUCAUUCAAAGAGUGCGUAACAGCUCACUAGUCGAGCGACAGAGCGUGGAUAAUAAACGGGCAUCAAGCAUAUCACCGAAGUUCUGGGCGCGAGAGCGCGGUAGGGGAGCAUUCCAUUCAGCGUCGAAGCAGUUUCGUGAGGAAUUGUGGAGCGUAUGGAAAAGCAAAUGUAGGCAUGAGUAACGAUAAUGCGGGAGAGUAACCCGCACACCGCAAGACCAAGGUUUCCUGAUCAACGCUAAUCGGAUCAGGGUUAGUCGGGUCCUAAGGGUAAGCCGAACGGCGAUCUCGAUGGAUAAUCGGUUAAUAUUCCGAUACUAACAUAUACCUCGAUGGAGAGACGAAGGAACGUAAGUGCCGCCACCUGACGGAAUAGGUGGUUAAAGGGCGUAGAUAUAGGGGCAGAUUAAGAGUUAGUCCUUGCUGAAACCUGACAGUACAGAGAGCCUACGGGCAAUUUGAUAGAGCACCCAAGUCGACUUCCGAGAAAAUCUUCUAAGUUAUAGUAUAUGUUACCCGUACCGUAAACCGACACAGGUGGUCGAGGAGAGUAUCCUAAGGUGCUCGAGUGAAUCACGGUUAAGGAACUAGGCAAAUUAACCCCGUAACUUCGGGAAAAGGGGUCCCUAUGAAAGUAGGGCGCAGCGAAGAGGUCCAGGCGACUGUUUAUCAAAAACACAGGGCUCUGCAAAUUCGAAAGAAGACGUAUAGGGCCUGACACCUGCCCGGUGCUGGAAGGUUAAGAGGGGAUGUCAUCGCAAGAGAAGCAUUGAAUCGAAGCCCCAGUAAACGGCGGCCGUAACUAUAACGGUCCUAAGGUAGCGAAAUUCCUUGUCGGGUAAGUUCCGACCUGCACGAAUGGUGUAACGAUCUGGACACUGUCUCAACCGUGAGCUCGGUGAAAUUGUAGUCCCGGUGAUGAUGCCGGGUACCCGCAACGGGACGAAAAGACCCCGUGAACCUUUACUAUAGCUUAACGCUGAAUUUGGGUACACAAUGUGUAGGAUAGGC
RNAcentral lists this ribosomal RNA (2120 nucleotides) under gut metagenome. Its description in RNAcentral is "bacterial LSU rRNA". It matches the Rfam family "Bacterial large subunit ribosomal RNA", at positions 1 to 2148 of the family's 2925-position model. The record is from RNAcentral.